CAGUAGCCGCGGUAAUUCGAAGGGUGCAAGCGUUAAUCGGAAUUACUGGGCGUAAAGCGUGCGUAGGCGGUUUGUUAAGUCUGUUGUGAAAUCCCCGGGCUCAACCUGGGAAUGGCAAUGGAUACUGGCAAGCUAGAGUGUGUCAGAGGAUGGUGGAAUUCCCGGUGUAGCGGUGAAAUGCGUAGAGAUCGGGAGGAACAUCAGUGGCGAAGGCGGCCAUCUGGGACAACACUGACGCUGAGGCACGAAAGCGUGGGGAGCAAACAGGAUUAGAUACCCCAGUAGUCCCUGUCUCUUAUAC
RNAcentral lists this ribosomal RNA (301 nucleotides) under uncultured bacterium. Its description in RNAcentral is "partial 16S ribosomal RNA". It matches the Rfam family "Bacterial small subunit ribosomal RNA", at positions 509 to 807 of the family's 1533-position model. The record is from RNAcentral.